RNAcentral lists this ribosomal RNA (479 nucleotides) under uncultured bacterium. RNAcentral's name for it is "bacterial SSU rRNA". It matches the Rfam family "Bacterial small subunit ribosomal RNA", at positions 328 to 793 of the family's 1533-position model. The record is from RNAcentral.
UGACAGUACUCCUACGGGGAGGCAGCAGUGGGGGAAUAUUGCACAAUGGGCGCAAGCCUGAUGCAGCCAUGCCGCGUGUGUGAAGAAGGACCUUCGGGGUUGUAAAGCACUUUCAGUCGUGAGGAAGGUAGUGUAGUUAAUAGCUGCAUUAUUUGACGUUAGCGACAGAAGAAGCACCGGCUAACUCCGUGCCAGCAGCCGCGGUAAUACGGAGGGUGCGAGCGUUAAUCGGAAUUACUGGGCGUAAAGCGCAUGCAGGUGGUUUGUUAAGUCAGAUGUGAAAGCCCGGGGCUCAACCUCGGAAUAGCAUUUGUAAACUGGCAGACUAGAGUACUGUAGAGGGGGGUAGGAAUUUCAGGUGUAGCGGUGAAAUGCGUAGAGAUCUGAAGGAAUACCGGUGGCGAAGGCGGCCCCCUGGACAGAUACUGACACUCAGAUGCGAAAGCGUGGGGAGCAAACAGGAUUAGAUACCCUGGUAG